This 213-nucleotide long non-coding RNA is filed under the name Lathyrus oleraceus (garden pea). Its description in RNAcentral is "Pisum sativum (pea) long non-coding RNA (PSAT_LNC012490)". The record is from RNAcentral. Lineage: Eukaryota; Viridiplantae; Streptophyta; Magnoliopsida; Fabales; Fabaceae.
CAGAACCUUGAAGUGAACCUUGGAUCUAUAUUAAAAUAAUACUCAAAGCAAUUCCAUGCAUUUUGACAAUCCUCUCGCUAUACACCUCAACUAACCUAUGCAACGGAUAACUGGUCUUUAUUAGAAUGAAAUGAGCUGAUUUGGUCAGCUUAUCCACCACAACCCAAAUUAUAUCACUUCCUUUAGAAGUCUUCAAUAAAAUUGUUACAAAAU